Molecule: ribosomal RNA, 254 nt
Filed under: uncultured prokaryote
Description: partial 16S ribosomal RNA
Rfam family: Bacterial small subunit ribosomal RNA
Source: RNAcentral
UACGGGGGGAGCAAGUGUUGUUCGGAUUUACUGGGCGUAAAGGGCGCGUAGGCGGCCACGACAAGUCACUUGUGAAAUCUCCGGGCUUAACCCGGAACGGUCAAGUGAUACUGUCGGGCUAGAGUGCAGAAGGGGCAACUGGAAUUCUCGGUGUAGCGGUGAAAUGCGUAGAUAUCGUAAGGAAGACCAGUGGCGAAGGCGAGUCUCUGGACAGUUACUGACGCUGAGGCACGAAGGCCAGGGGAGCAAACGGG